GCGGCUGUAGCUCAGUUGGUAGAGCACAACCUUGCCAAGGUUGGGGUCACGAGUUCGAGUCUCGUUAGCCGCUCCA
Molecule: transfer RNA, 76 nt
Filed under: Catenovulum agarivorans DS-2
Lineage: Bacteria; Pseudomonadati; Pseudomonadota; Gammaproteobacteria; Alteromonadales; Alteromonadaceae
Also listed under: 4 other names
Description: tRNA-Gly
Rfam family: tRNA
About the family: Transfer RNA (tRNA) molecules are approximately 80 nucleotides in length. Their secondary structure includes four short double-helical elements and three loops (D, anti-codon, and T loops).
Source: RNAcentral